CUUUUCAUGUCUUGCUACUUUAAAAUUCCAAAAAGGUUCACUCUUCCUUUGCUGGUUACUUAACCAUGAUUUUUUUUUGCUUUGGUUCUGGUUGAGAUACUAAAGGUUGUUUAUAUAUGAAAAGAACAAACACUUAUAGUUUUGUAUGCCUCAACUGUUGCUUAGGAUCCAGUGUUGUAGUGCUUUUCCUAAUUACAAAUAACUCUAAUCAAUAAUAGUGGUUCUUUCCUUCUGAUUUGAACUGAGAGAGAACCACUAAUUCUUGAUCUUAAGGUGACCCCAUUUUUCUAUGCCUCAUGCUCAUGCUGCUCUAUGUUCCCUUUUAAAAAUUCUUGCUAGCAUUUUGGGUUGGUUUCUGCUCUAUGUUCCCUUUUAGCAUUUCUUUCCGUUGUUGCUGCACUCCCUUUUGGGCGUUCAUUUCAUGCCCAGGAUCUUGCAAAUUGUGCCUGUGCCGAGCUUGCUUUAGAGUACGUGUUGCGGAGAUGUCGAGGACCUCAAGGUCACCGAUGUUGUGGAGCUGGACGAGGUUUCUGGGCAGUUCAUUGACCGCCUGUUCUUCCUGGAGAAGGUGAGAAAUCAUCAUCGAUCCAUCAAGCUAGCUCUUCGUCAUGCAUGGAGAUUGAUUGCAGACAGUCCUUUUUCUGCUGGUUACAAAUUCCAGGUGAUUUACUCUGCCAGGCGGCAGCACUCGAAGCACACAGGAUCCUGAACCUCAACAACAACCCCUACUUUUCUGGGCCCUAAUGUUGCAACGGCCGUGACGGCGUCGAGGCUCGGGCGUGUGGCCGUCGACGUGGAGCAGUCAGAGGAGGAGCGACUACUACCCCAACGGCAGCCUCUUCUCCCUUGUCCACGUUCGGUUGGUGCCGUGGCGGAGGGUUGUCUUGUGGUUUGACCGGAGAGGGAGCACACCAAAGAAGCGAUCUCGUCCCCAUUGGUCAGGUACCCUUCGUCUUUCUCUCGUUCGACCUCUCCAAGAAAGUUAUAUAGGUAGAGUAAGCUAAUUGUGUUUUCCGGGUGUUGUAUAGGAUACUACGGUUAAAGAUUGUUCUCAUUUAUAUUGAUGUUGCUGAUUAUCAAAUCAAUGGCUGUUAUCUAGAGUGCUUCUCCUUCAAAUUUGACGUACUAUGUCUUCCAGCUUAUACUAUAUAUGAUUUCUUUCCAUGGUUUUAACUAAUUAUGGAUAUGUAUCUAAUUAUGUUAUUUUGGCACCAACAAAUUACUCACCUAGCAUUUAUUCUGCUACAUGGAAACAAUCGGUGUCUAUUUCUUUUUUAUCUGAACUCAGAUAUAAUUCUGCUAUAUGUAAACAAUCAUUGGUUCUUUCUUUUCUAUCUAAACUGAGAAAUAAGUCUAAUCAGUUGUUGUUUUAUUUACUGUUCAAGUAUCAUUCUUACCUAAAACUUGUGCCAAAACUGGUUUUUCUUUCAUAUGUGCCAUAGAUUAUUCAACCCCAUCUGCUUCUGUACAAUUUUGUUGACUUAUCUGGCAUUUUUUCAGCCGUGUGGAACCAGCACAUCUACAUGCGAAUCUCCAGGCUAUGGUACCAGUGGGGUGGCUUCGAUGAUGGCCCUAUCAAGAGUAUACAUGUGCUCUUCUAUAGGGAAAUCAUGCCAACAAGAUGGUGCCUAAUGAGGUCAUAGACAUGUUUGUGGACACUUUGCAUGAGAGAAAUUUAUACAAGUGUGCCAGGAUCCAUGUGAGGUUCCCUGUAACAAUUCUGAGGGCAGUGGAAGGCACGUAUACGUUAUGGUUCACUAGAUCAACAAUUGUCCAUCACCUUGAGGGUGUUCCAUUUGGUCAUGUCUGUUAACAUGCUUAGUUGCUUCUUCUUUAUUAUGUUAAUGCUCCAAUAACUUUCUCAUAGUAUAUCACUUUUGUUAUUAACCAUCGUAUUGAAUGGCUGCGCUUUUGAUUU
Molecule: non-coding RNA, 1918 nt
Organism: Triticum urartu
Lineage: Eukaryota; Viridiplantae; Streptophyta; Magnoliopsida; Poales; Poaceae
Source: RefSeq, a predicted model, not a curated record